Perca fluviatilis (European perch) is the source of this 2647-nucleotide long non-coding RNA. RefSeq lists it as uncharacterized. Lineage: Eukaryota; Metazoa; Chordata; Actinopteri; Perciformes; Percidae. The transcript has 2 exons. The record is from RefSeq and is a predicted model, not a curated record.
UUACAUAUUAUCUAAAUCCACAUAUUUACAGGUUAUUGGCAACAUGCCAGACAUUGUAAAAAUCUCAAGUGACAAAGCACAAAGGACAUUUGAAGACCCAUAAAGGAACCGUUGGUAAAAAUGGUCAACAAAGUAAAACAAGUGCUAUGCUGAAAAAGUAUUGCGAGUACUAUUAUAUAACUUUUUACACACAUAUAUCUAUAAAUUGCAGGAACCCAGCAAAUCAAAUCCAUACUUCACUGUUAACUGUCAAGCCACUAAAUAAACCUGUAUGGAAAAUGAGCACCUGUGCUGAUGUGUUAAAUUAGUUAACGAUCAUAUGACAUGAGACAGCACCAUCUCUCCUUCUCUCUUUGCGCGCACACAGACACACACGGUCCGCAUCUGGUGGUUGAUGAACAUAGAUAUGUGCUGCAGCCACUGUACUAGUAUUUACAAUGACAGGUUACUGGCAACAUGCCAGUCAUUAUAACAGUCACGGCCAGCGACAAAGCACAAAGGAAUAUCGCAGGUGGAGCACUUCACUGGUGUCUUGGCAUGACACUGCCUGCACUUCAGCCGACCAGCAGUGCUGUGCCCACUGAUCUGCACUGGCCUGUGAUGUGCUCCACGUGGAGCUGGAGGUGGUUCGGGUGUGGCUGUGCAGGAAGACCCCGCCUCUGCCAGCUCCACUGCGAGCGUCUCUCUGAACGCCUUCUGAUGCAGAGGUACCUCUCCUUUGCCAAUUGCAAGGUCCUUCUGGAGGAGGAAGGCGUUCACAAUUGCGAUGUCCAUGAAGUGGUAAAACAGAGUCUUGUACCACCGUUGGGUCUUGUGCAGGACUUUGUAAUACCCUAUGAGGUCCACUCCACCCAUGCAUCUACCUACAGUAGAUGAACAGACAAUAUACAAAAACAUUAAUGUAUACAGCACACAAAUAACACUUCCAAGAGCAUACAGGAAAAUGUAGUUGAAUAUAUAGUACGUACCGGUUGUAGUCCUUCCCCACUGGUGGAACUGAGACGUCCUUCAGCUAGGCUCUGGAAUGACCUUCCUCUGUCUGUAAAAACCUGUCCUUCUCUGGGGGGGGUUUUUUCAGAGUGCUCUUAAAACUCACUUGUUUUCCUUAGCAUUUGAUAAUGCUUUGUAAGUUGUUUGUAUUGUUUUGGCUUUUAUGUUUUUAUACGUUAUGUACAGCACUUUGGUUCCACUUGUGGUUGUGAAAGUGCUUUAUAAAUAAAGUUGAGUUGAGUUCAGCUGCCACUGCCCAUCUGCACCCUUUGACCCUCCUCUGCACUGUGUCCUCUGCGUGGGCCCUGUGGAGAGUUGAGCACAGAAAAACAUCCCUUGUGUCUCGCCGCUGGACAAAGAGCAAGGAGCCAUUCCUGAUCCAGCGUAUGCUGCCACGGGGAGAUUUUGAGACCAGAUUGUUGACCUUUGACCUUGGGAAUCCGAUUCUGUUUGUGCGGAUGGUUCCGCAUGCCCAGAUCCUCUUCAGAAGGAGGUCACGAAACAGGAUUGGACUUGUAUAAAAAUUGUCCACAAAGACCUUUAUAGCUGGUGCCCAGCAACUGUACAUCAAUUAGCUCCAUCACUGCCACAUAACUCUCCCUUACCACUGUUUCCCUGACACUUUCCCUCAUAAACAAAAAGGUCCCAUGUAUAACCGUUCCUGGAGUCUGCCAGAACAAAGAGUUUAUAACCCCAGCGAACAGGCUUGUUUUUCAAGUAUUGUUUCAGACCAGUGCGGGCUUUUGAAGCAACCAUUCGCUCAUCAAUGGCGAUUUCCUGGCCAGGGUGAUAGUUUCUUCUACAGGAGUCCCUCAUCUCCUCGUAGAGCGGCUUUAUCUUACCCAGGCGGUCGUAGGCUCCUGUGCCUCUCCUUUCAUCAUUAGCAGCAUCCCCCACAGAGCUGCUGACGUGAAGGGACUGGGAGAUCCUGAGGAACUUUUUACCAGUCAUUACCCGUCUCGGGAACGGCAAGCUAUAAAGAUGACCCCCACGCCAGUAAUCAGUGAAAGAAAAGCAUUUGACUACACCCAUGUAAACAACUAAAGACAUGAAUCCAAACAUGUCCUGCAAUGUCAGAUCAAUCCACGGGAUAGAGGGUGUUGAAUGGUGUGUUGAUCCACAGUUGUUGGUGUUUUGAAGUAUUGUCUUCAAAACAGAGUUGGUAAAAAAAUAGUUGAAACAACUGCAGGGCUGUGUACGUAGCAGUACGUAUGAGCUGGGGUCCUGGGACAUUUCUGGGUCUGAAGGUGGGCUGUGGUGGUGUGAUGUCUGGAACGUCAACAUCAUUCCACCUCUCUUCAGAUGGGCUGGUUGAUCUGGCUUGACUGCAGCCGCUCCCAUUUCCUCGUCCUCUACCUCUUGGUCUCCUGCUGUUCUGGGGAGUUGGAAGAUGAGGCUCCUCAGCUGAUGAACUGUCCUGCUGCUCUACGCCUCUCCCUUUUCCUCUACCUUGUCCUCUACCUCUUGGUCUCCUGCUGUUCUGUGGAAAAGGAAGCUCCUCACCUGAUGAACUGUCCUGCUGCUCCACUCCAUGUGGCCACCUGCUCACUGGUGCAGAUGUAGCUGGCUCCCAAUCCAUAUCUACAUCACAUUUCCUAUAAUGUGAAAAUAAAGAAAUAACAGUAAUUACAACUAAUGUUCUGAAUGCGAAGCCACC